RNAcentral lists this ribosomal RNA (294 nucleotides) under uncultured bacterium. RNAcentral describes it as "partial 16S ribosomal RNA". It matches the Rfam family "Bacterial small subunit ribosomal RNA", at positions 775 to 1067 of the family's 1533-position model. The record is from RNAcentral.
GGAUUAGAUACCCUGGUAGUCCACGCCGUAAACGUUGGGUGCUCGUCGUUGCGGGUAUUGACCCCUGCAGUGACCAAGCUAACGCAAGAAGCACCCCGCCUGGGAAGUACGGUCGCAAGACUAAAACUCAAAGAAAUUGACGGGGGCCCGCACAAGCGGUGGAGCAUGUGGUUUAAUUCGAAGCAACGCGCAGAACCUUACCUGGAUUUGACAUCCUCGGAACUUCUCUGAAAAGAGAAGGUGCCUUCGGGAGCCGAGUGACAGGUGCUGCAUGGCUGUCGUCAGCUCGUGCUG